UACGGAGGGUGCAAACGUUGCUCGGAAUCAUUGGGCGUAAAGCGCACGUAGGCGGCCUGUUAAGUCGGAUGUGAAAGCCCCGGGCUCAACCCGGGAAGUGCAUACGAAACUGGCAGGCUUGAAUAUGGAAGAGGGUCGCGGAAUUCCCGGUGUAGAGGUGAAAUUCGUAGAUAUCGGGAGGAACACCGGUGGCGAAGGCGGGUCUCUGGGCCGAUACUGACGCUGAGGAGCGAAAGCGUGGGGAGCAAACAGG
Molecule: ribosomal RNA, 253 nt
Filed under: uncultured bacterium
Lineage: Bacteria
Description: partial 16S ribosomal RNA
Rfam family: Bacterial small subunit ribosomal RNA
Source: RNAcentral